This 426-nucleotide ribosomal RNA is filed under the name uncultured cyanobacterium. RNAcentral describes it as "bacterial SSU rRNA". It matches the Rfam family "Bacterial small subunit ribosomal RNA", at positions 354 to 795 of the family's 1533-position model. The record is from RNAcentral. Lineage: Bacteria; Bacillati; Cyanobacteriota.
CUUGGGGAUUUUCCGCAAUGGGCGAAAGCCUGACGGAGCAACGCCGCGUGAGGGAUGAAGGCCUCUGGGCUGUAAACCUCUUUUAUCAAGGAAGAAAAUCUGACGGUACUUGAUGAAUAAGCCACGGCUAAUUCCGUGCCAGCAGCCGCGGUAAUACGGGAGUGGCAAGCGUUAUCCGGAAUUAUUGGGCGUAAAGCGUCCGCAGGCGGCCCAGAAAGUCUGCUGUUAAAAAGUGGAGCUUAACUCCAUCAUGGCAGUGGAAACUUCUGGGCUAGAGUGUGGUAGGGGCAGAGGGAAUUCCCGGUGUAGCGGUGAAAUGCGUAGAUAUCGGGAAGAACACCAGUGGCGAAGGCGCUCUGCUGGGCCAUAACUGACGCUCAUGGACGAAAGCCAGGGGAGCGAAAGGGAUUAGAUACCCCUGUAGUC